CUUUACUGAUGAGCUUGAAACAGGCUGAACCUGAUCCCCCCGCCCUAUGGCUAAAUGGGGGAUCCCAGGCCCCCGAGUCUCCCCCCGGACCUGCAGCGAAAGACACGGACGGUGCCCAUCAGCUCUGGGCAGAGGAACGUGCUGCGCCUCCGCAGCGUCCCCGGCUCAGGAACUGACACGAAGAACAAUAAAGCCGGCGAUGUGGGGAGGGGACAGGGAUGGAGUUACAUCAUGAAGGCUCUGGAAGGUGGCAUUGGAGGCCGGGAUCGCGCCACUGUCCUCCAGCCUGUGCGACUGAGCGAGACUGUCUCCAGAAAAAAAAAAAAAAAAAAAAAAAAAAAAAAAAAUCCUGUCCAGUCUUUAUAAGAAGAGAGACGUGGACACAGACACGCGGAGAGAAAAAGGCCAUGUGGAGAUGGCGGCAGAGAUGAGAUGUGCUGCCACCAGACGAGAAAUGGCAGGGAUGGCUGGCGGCCUCCACAGGGCUGGGAAAGGUGGCCAGGGCCUCCCUCAGAGCCUUCAGCCAGCCUGCGGGAGAGAAAGAUGAUAAACGGUGUUGUUUUUGUUGUUGUUGUUUGAGACAGAGUCUGUGUCACACAGGCUGGAGUGCAAUGGUGAGAUCUUGGCUCACUGCAGCCUCAGCCUCCCGGGUUCAAGCGAUUCUCCUGCCUCAGCCACCCGAGUAGCUGGGAUUACAGGCACGCACCACCAUGCCAGGCUAAUUUUUGUAUUUUUAGUAGAGACGGGGUUUCAUCAUGUUGACCAAGCUGGUCUCGAACCCCUAACAUCAGGUGAUCCAUCCGCCUCGGCCUCCCAAAAGUGCUAGGCUCACAGGAGUGAGCCACCGCGCCCAGCCCAAUGUGUGUUGUUUUAAACCACUCAAGUUUGCAGUAAUUUGUUACACAGCCCAAAUACUUUUUAAUUUUUUAGAAAUUUUAACGUAAUUUUAGAUUAGAAAAGUGGCAAGAACCAUACAGAAUGUCAUAUUCCCUCAUCCAGAUUUUCCAAAUAUUAAUUUUUUUUGCUUCUAUUAUCAGAAACUCAUUGUUAUUUCAAAUGUUAAGUUUUUACUACAUUUGCUCCCUCUCUGUCUCUCCACACACACACACACACACACACACACACACACACGUGUGCAGGUGUGUAUGAAUCUGUCACUCAGUCUAUCUGGUUUCUCUAACUUGUUAUUUUGUUUUGUUUUGUUUCUUUUUGAGACAGAAUCUUUCUCUGUCACCCACGCUGGAGUGCAGUGGUGUGAUUUCAGCUCACUGCAACCUCCCCCCCAC
RNAcentral lists this long non-coding RNA (1286 nucleotides) under Homo sapiens (human). RNAcentral's name for it is "HSALNT0274163". The record is from RNAcentral. Lineage: Eukaryota; Metazoa; Chordata; Mammalia; Primates; Hominidae.